Molecule: ribosomal RNA, 253 nt
Filed under: uncultured bacterium
Lineage: Bacteria
Description: partial 16S ribosomal RNA
Rfam family: Bacterial small subunit ribosomal RNA
Source: RNAcentral
UACGGAGGGGACUAGCGUUGUUCGGAAUUACUGGGCGUAAAGCGCACGUAGGCGGAUUUGUAAGUCAGGGGUGAAAUCCCGGGGCUCAACCUGGGAAUUGCAUUCGAGACUGCAUUGCUGGAGUACGGAAGAGGAAGGCGGAAUUCCCGGUGUAGCGGUGAAAUGCGUAGAUAUCGGGAGGAACAUCAGUGGCGAAGGCGGCCUUCUGGUCCAGUACUGACACUCAAGUGCGAAAGCGUGGGGAGCAAACAGG